UACGUAGGGGGCAAGCGUUGUCCGGAAUCAUUGGGCGUAAAGCGCGCGUAGGCGGCCCGGUAAGUCCGCUGUAAAAGUCCAGGGCUCAACCCUGGAAAGCCGGUGGAUACUGUCGGGCUAGAGUCCGGAAGAGGCGAGUGGAACUCCGAGUGUAGAGGUGAAAUUCGUAGAUAUUCGCAAGAACACCAGUGGCGAAGGCGGCUCACUGGCCCGGUACUGACGCUGAGGUGCGAAAGCGUGGGGAGCAAACAGG
This 253-nucleotide ribosomal RNA is filed under the name uncultured bacterium. Its description in RNAcentral is "partial 16S ribosomal RNA". It matches the Rfam family "Bacterial small subunit ribosomal RNA", at positions 524 to 776 of the family's 1533-position model. The record is from RNAcentral.